Molecule: ribosomal RNA, 339 nt
Filed under: Triticum aestivum (bread wheat)
Lineage: Eukaryota; Viridiplantae; Streptophyta; Magnoliopsida; Poales; Poaceae
Description: partial small subunit ribosomal RNA
Source: RNAcentral
AUGAGUAACACAGCCGGCCCGAUCAUGAGUUGGAAUGUCAGGGGCUUAAACAAUCCAGCCCGGCGAUCUGUAGUGCAGGACACAGCAAACACGCAUCGCCUCGCCAUUUUAUGCAUCCAGGAAACCAAGCUUGAAGAGUGGACAACAGAAUUCGCCAGGGAAGUAGGAGGCCAAAGGCUAGAUGACUACAUUGUCCUGCCUGCAAAUGGCACAAGAGGAGGCGCCGCCAUCUUUUGGGAUUCAACAUCAGUCAGAAUCCAGUCUCACGUGAUCGGGGAGUUCUCCAUCACGGACAAGGUCACCGUGCUCUCCUCAGGAGCUAGUUUUUGGUUGACGACU